RNAcentral lists this long non-coding RNA (1002 nucleotides) under Zalophus californianus (California sea lion). RNAcentral's name for it is "lncRNA (ENSZCAG00015001144.1)". Lineage: Eukaryota; Metazoa; Chordata; Mammalia; Carnivora; Otariidae. The record is from RNAcentral.
CAUUGUUAAAAGUCAGUCAACAACAUUCAGUAAUCAACAGUUGGAAGUUUCCAAUGACUGUCAUCCAAUCAAAACUUUUUUUAGGUUUCAACCAAGAUGGCACCAUGGAGAGAUCCAGAAUGCUCUUCUAUAGACGCACAGGUGGUUGAGAAAACACAAACAUCAAAAACAGGUCCUUGUUUUCUCUUUCUCAAGUAUACCCCAAAUCUGAAGACUUCAAUGGUGUUUCUUUUCUCUUCAGUUAUAUUUUUCUUCCCAUAUAUAUAUUUUCUUACUUAGGUAAAAUGAUAAAGGGAUAAUAUGAUUUAAGUGCAUUAAUAAAAUGAAUGUUUUGAAUAGACCAUAAUGUGAAAAGCAUCCUAGGGUUCAGUGCUAAGCUAUGCUUUACAUGAGCAAUUAAAGAUAUCUGUGUUAAUAGUACAAAUUAUAUUAAAUAUAUAAGCUUUCUGUCCCUACAUUUACUGAAAAUUAAUGUUAAAUCCUAGAAAGGAAAAGAUUUUCUUAUUAAUUGAAAUGUCCUUAUUUUAGAAUCUGAUUAAAUAGAAUUCUUUAUAUAUGGUCAAGUAUAAGAGAGUCACCCCUUUUUACUAGGAAACUUAAUAGAACAAUGAAAAGAAAAAGAGAACUGGACCUGGAAACCAUUGAUUUGAGUUUUAGUUCUACCACUUACCAGCUAUGUGAUUUCACUGAAGAGAUCUACUCUCCACGAGCAUGGAUUUUGUUCAAGUGUAAAAAGGAAUAAUAUGCCAAUAAUGUUUUCCCUACCUACAUUCAUAAAGUGCAUUUAAUAAAUGUAUAUGUACUAGGUAAACUUUGAAAUGGCAUGCCAUUGUUCUUUAUCAGAAUUAUAAAACUUAUGGGAAUGUAGUUAGGAUUGAAAUAGAAGUUGAUAGAAGGAGAUAAUUUUGAAAUAUCAGAGCAGAAAAAGAAUGGAGUAGAAUUGAAACUGAUCUCUCAUAUGGGAAAGUUUAGUUUGGCACUGGUUAAGGAAUUUAGAACUAG